ACUCUUGUAUAGAAAAAGGAUAAUAAAACAACAAAAAAUCCUAGUUUAGCUCAAAUGUUCAUAGCAACACGCAAGGAGAAGCUAACAAAGCGAAAGCUUGGUGACCUAAGGGACAAAUUGAUGACUGAACUUGAGAAAUUAGAUUCAGAGGAGGAGGUUGAAAGUGUGAUUUCAACUAUUAUUGGUUCUGAUAACAAGAAAAAGUCUCGAUUAAAUUUUUAUGGAAGAGGUGUUUCAUAGAAGGCCUUGAUGUAGGAAGCUGAAGAGAAGCAUGCUCAGGAGGUUCAAGCUCUACAAAAAGAUUAUGAGGACAAAAGGCAACAAUAUAGAAGGGAGAUAGCAUAUGGUCUUAGCUCCAUCCUUUCUCAAAUUCAACAACAAAAUCCACAAAUGUCUUUUGAUUUAAGUAUGCUUGGCUCUUUAUUUCUUGAUAAUCAAUUUGAGAAGGAUGGUGGUAGUACAACAGAAAUGCUUCGAUUUCAAUCUUCGGCUUCUACAUCCAAGGGAGAUGAACAAGAAGAAGAUGAAGAAGGCUGCGAGUAAGAAGAAGAAGAAUAUGACUUUAUGGCUCAAUUUGAAGUUGCUUUAACCUUUUAUUAUUUCUUCUAUUUUUUAGUUAGACUAAUAUUAUGGCCUACAACAUUCUAUUAAACAAUAGAUUAUUUAGAUAGAUUUGAUGUUGAAAACAAGUUGAUAUUGUUUUGGUUGUACUGUUUUACUAAUUAAUUUUAUAUGUUUGGGAUUAUGUAGUCAAAUGCUUAUUACAUGUUUUAAUGUUCAACAUUUUUCUAAUAUAACAAAUUCAAAAUAGUA
Chenopodium quinoa (quinoa) is the source of this 813-nucleotide long non-coding RNA. RefSeq lists it as uncharacterized. The transcript is spliced from 3 exons. The record is from RefSeq and is a predicted model, not a curated record. NCBI's taxonomy places the organism in Eukaryota, Viridiplantae, Streptophyta, Magnoliopsida, Caryophyllales, Amaranthaceae.